RNAcentral lists this ribosomal RNA (460 nucleotides) under uncultured bacterium. Its description in RNAcentral is "partial 16S ribosomal RNA". It matches the Rfam family "Bacterial small subunit ribosomal RNA", at positions 338 to 795 of the family's 1533-position model. The record is from RNAcentral.
CCUACGGGGAGCAUCAGUGAGGAAUAUUGGUCAAUGGACGAGAGUCUGAACCAGCCAAGUAGCGUGAAGGAUGACUGCCCUAUGGGUUGUAAACUUCUUUUAUAUGGGAAUAAAAUGUUCCACGUGUGGGAUUUUGUAUGUACCAUAUGAAUAAGGAUCGGCUAACUCCGUGCCAGCAGCCGCGGUAAUACGGAGGAUCCGAGCGUUAUCCGGAUUUAUUGGGUUUAAAGGGAGCGUAGGUGGAUUGUUAAGUCAGUUGUGAAAGUUUGCGGCUCAACCGUAAAAUUGCAGUUGAAACUGGCAGUCUUGAGUACAGUAGAGGUGGGCGGAAUUCGUGGUGUAGCGGUGAAAUGCUUAGAUAUCACGAAGAACUCCGAUUGCGAAGGCAGUUCACUGGACUGCAACUGACACUGAGGCUCGAAAGUGUGGGUAUCAAACAGGAUUAGAUACCCGGGUAGUC